CGUGAGUGGAAUUGUGGAACGUGGGAAAAGCCAGUUUUGCCAUCUUGUCCCUUGGACGGUUCCGCCUGCAGUCUGCAUCCCCUAGUUUGGACUCUCCUGGGUCAGAUCAGCAUCCUCCCUACUGUGGUCCUGCCCUGGCUUCAGCCCAGCAUAAUAACCUCUCCUCUCAAUCCCAAGGGCUGGCCUCCCAGCAACCUUAGUGCUCUGCUCCCUCAAGCACAGUCUGUACCUUGGGCUCAAGGCAUCAGGGAAAGCAGUUCCAGCUCUCCUCCAGUCAACAUCUGUAUCACAAGCCCUGUGGAUUAUGGAAAAGGCACCACAGGGGGCUUUCAUGUGAGCUGCUCAUGGUCUGGUGAAGGACUGCCUGAGGAGGAGCAGCCAGUUUCCCACAGAAAAUCUAGAAGUUCCUCCACAAUGUACAUCUGGGAUCCCAGCACUCUGGGAGGAGAUACAGAGGCAUCAGGAUAAACUGGAGCAUCCUUUGCAGAAUGAGCAAAGGAAUCAGACCUGAAGUCAUGCCCACGCCACCUGCUGGAGCUGCCUAAAACUACAGGAAGAAGGCAUUGCACCUGCUAGGAGUCCUUUCAGGCGCUCCAUUGUACCGAGGCUGUGGGAGGGUUCUAGGGGAGAGGCGUUCGUUGGCUGGUUAUUACUAUUUUCCAUGAUUUCUGUCAUCAGUGCUUUUUGUUUUCUGCUGUCUGUCAAUGAAAUAUUCAUCUUUGGGAGAGGAUUCUGGGAAGAUGGUAAAGUAGGUCAGAAAAUUCCAAGCUUUCCAGAUUUCCCCCACAAACAAGACAAAAUAGAGCCCCAGGAUGAAAGCAGAGCAGUAAAAAUAAACAAGAGUUGAGUCUUCCUGAGACA
RNAcentral lists this long non-coding RNA (861 nucleotides) under Phascolarctos cinereus (koala). RNAcentral's name for it is "lncRNA (ENSPCIG00000002093.2)". The record is from RNAcentral. Lineage: Eukaryota; Metazoa; Chordata; Mammalia; Diprotodontia; Phascolarctidae.